UAGGGAAUCUUCCGCAAUGGGCGAAAGCCUGAUGGAGCAACGCCGCGUGUGUGAUGAAGGGUUUCGGCUCGUAAAACACUGUUGUAAGAGAAGAAUGACAUUGAGAGUAACUGUUCAAUGUGUGACGGUAUCUUACCAGAAAGGAACGGCUAAAUACGUGCCUG
This 164-nucleotide ribosomal RNA is filed under the name uncultured bacterium. Its description in RNAcentral is "partial 16S rRNA". It matches the Rfam family "Bacterial small subunit ribosomal RNA", at positions 355 to 511 of the family's 1533-position model. The record is from RNAcentral.